UGAGUAACGCGUGGAUAACCUACCCAGAGGUGGGGGAUAGCUCGGGGAAACCCGGAUUAAUACCGCACAUGACCGUGAGGUCAAAGGGGGCUCGCAAGGGCUCUCGCCAUUGGAGGGGUCCGCGUCCGAUUAGCUAGUUGGUAGGGUAAUGGCCUACCAAGGCGACGAUCGGUAGCCGGCCUGAGAGGGUGAUCGGCCACACUGGAACUGAGACACGGUCCAGACUCCUACGGGAGGCAGCAGUGGGGAAUUUUGCGCAAUGGGCUAACGCCUGACGCAGCAACGCCGCGUGGAGGAUGAAGGUCUUUGGAUUGUAAACUCCUGUCAGCAGGGAAAAAGCGAAUUGGCCUAACACGCCAGUGAGUUGAUUGUACCUGCAGAGGAAGCCCCGGCUAACUCUGUGCCAGCAGCCGCGGUAAUACAGAGGGGGCAAGCGUUAUUCGGAAUUAUUGGGCGUAAAGGGCGCGUAGGCGGCUUGGCAAGUGGAUGGUGAAAUCCCUCGGCUUAACCGAGGAACUGCCGUCCAAACUGCUUUGCUUGAGGCCGGGAGAGGCGAGUGGAAUUCCCAGUGUAGCGGUGAAAUGCGUAGAUAUUGGGAGGAACACCAGUGGCGAAGGCGGCUCGCUGGACCGGUUCUGACGCUGAUGCGCGAAAGCGUGGGGAGCAAACGGGAUUAGAUACCCCGGGUAGUCCACGCUGUAAACGAUGAGUGCUUGGUGUAGCGGGUAUCGACCCCUGCUGUGCCGAAGUCAACACAUUAAGCACUCCGCCUGGGGAGUUACGGUCGCAAGGCUUGAAAACUCAAAGGAAUUUGACGGGGGGCCCGCACAAAGCGGGUGGAACCAUGUGGUUCAAUUU
RNAcentral lists this ribosomal RNA (858 nucleotides) under uncultured Bacillota bacterium. RNAcentral's name for it is "bacterial SSU rRNA". It matches the Rfam family "Bacterial small subunit ribosomal RNA", at positions 107 to 952 of the family's 1533-position model. The record is from RNAcentral. Lineage: Bacteria; Bacillati; Bacillota.